CUAACAAGGAUUCCCCUAGUAACUGCGAGUGAAGCGGGAAAAGCUCAAAUUUAAAAUCUGGCGGUCUCUGGCCGUCCGAGUUGUAGUCUGGAGAAGCGUCUUCCGCGUCGGCCCGUGUACAAGUUUCCUGGAACGGAGCGUCAUAGAGGGUGAGAAUCCCGUCUCUGACACGGACCGCCGAUGCUUUGUGAUGCGCUCUCGAAGAGUCGAGUUGUUUGGGAAUGCAGCUCAAAAUGGGUGGUGAAUUCCAUCUAAAGCUAAAUAUUGGCGAGAGACCGAUAGCGAACAAGUACCGUGAGGGAAAGAUGAAAAGCACUUUGGAAAGAGAGUUAAACAGUACGUGAAAUUGUUGAAAGGGAAACGCUCGAAGUCAGUCGCGUCCGCCGGGACUCAGCCUUGCAACCCUUGCUCGGUGUACUUUCUGGUGGACGGGCCAGCAUCAAUUUUGGCCGUCGGACAAAGGCCGGAGAAAUGUGGCACCUUCGGGUGUGUUAUAGUCUCUGGUCGCAUGCGGCGGUCGGGAUUGAGGAACUCAGCACGCCUUCACGGUCGGGGUUCGCCCACGUUCGUGCUUAGGAUGCUGGCGUAAUGGCUUUGAACGACCCGUCUUGAAACACGGACCAAGGAGUCUAACAUGCCCGCGAGUGUUCGGGUGGAAAACCCGUGCGCGCAAUGAAAGUGAAAGUUGGGACCUCUGUCGUGGAGGGCACCGACGCCCGGACCAGAACUUCUGUGACGGAUCUGCGGUAGAGCGUGCAUGUUGGGACCCGAAAGAUGGUGAACUAUGCCUGAAUAGGGUGAAGCCAGAGGAAACUCUGGUGGAGGCUCGUAGCGAUUCUGACGUGCAAAUCGAUCGUCAAAUUUGGGUAUAGGGGCGAAAGACUAAUCGAAC
RNAcentral lists this ribosomal RNA (892 nucleotides) under Bondarzewia sp. PDD60293. Its description in RNAcentral is "eukaryotic LSU rRNA". It matches the Rfam family "Eukaryotic large subunit ribosomal RNA", at positions 65 to 940 of the family's 3401-position model. The record is from RNAcentral. Lineage: Eukaryota; Fungi; Basidiomycota; Agaricomycetes; Russulales; Bondarzewiaceae.